RNAcentral lists this ribosomal RNA (566 nucleotides) under Trichoderma harzianum. RNAcentral describes it as "eukaryotic LSU rRNA". The stretch from base 179 to 332 matches the Rfam family "5.8S ribosomal RNA". Lineage: Eukaryota; Fungi; Ascomycota; Sordariomycetes; Hypocreales; Hypocreaceae. The record is from RNAcentral.
AUGUGAACGUUACCAAACUGUUGCCUCGGCGGGAUCUCUGCCCCGGGUGCGUCGCAGCCCCGGACCAAGGCGCCCGCCGGAGGACCAACCAAAACUCUUAUUGUAUACCCCCUCGCGGGUUUUUUUUAUAAUCUGAGCCUUCUCGGCGCCUCUCGUAGGCGUUUCGAAAAUGAAUCAAAACUUUCAACAACGGAUCUCUUGGUUCUGGCAUCGAUGAAGAACGCAGCGAAAUGCGAUAAGUAAUGUGAAUUGCAGAAUUCAGUGAAUCAUCGAAUCUUUGAACGCACAUUGCGCCCGCCAGUAUUCUGGCGGGCAUGCCUGUCCGAGCGUCAUUUCAACCCUCGAACCCCUCCGGGGGGUCGGCGUUGGGGAUCGGCCCUGCCUUGGCGGUGGCCGUCUCCGAAAUACAGUGGCGGUCUCGCCGCAGCCUCUCCUGCGCAGUAGUUUGCACACUCGCAUCGGGAGCGCGGCGCGUCCACAGCCGUUAAACACCCAACUUCUGAAAUGUUGACCUCGGAUCAGGUAGGAAUACCCGCUGAACUUAAGCAUAUCAAUAAGCGGAGGAA